AGCAGCAUGGCGCAGCUGGAAGCGCGCGGGGCCCAUAUCAUUACGUAAUCUAUACGCAAUUGGAAACCCCGAGGUCACUCGAUCGAAACGAGUUGCUGCUA
Molecule: non-coding RNA, 101 nt
Organism: Mycena albidolilacea
Lineage: Eukaryota; Fungi; Basidiomycota; Agaricomycetes; Agaricales; Mycenaceae
Source: the annotation of a GenBank genome assembly